Molecule: long non-coding RNA, 375 nt
Filed under: Callithrix jacchus (white-tufted-ear marmoset)
Lineage: Eukaryota; Metazoa; Chordata; Mammalia; Primates; Cebidae
Description: lncRNA (ENSCJAG00000073075.1)
Source: RNAcentral
GGUUCUCCUGCCUCAGACUCCCAAGUAGCUGGGACCCAGAUGUGUGCCACCACACCUGGCUAAUUAUUAUUAUUAUUAUUGUUGUAGAGACAGGGUCUCACCAUCUUGCCCAGACUGGUCUUGGACUCUUGGCCUCAGGCGAUCCUCCUACCUUGGCCUCCCAAAGUGCUGGAAUUACAGUGAGCACCAUUUUAUGGAUAAAGAGACAGAGGUUUAGGGAGUUACUUGCUCAAUGUCACUCAGCCACUGACCACAUAUCUGGAGAGUGCUUUUAAAUUUAGGGUAAGAUAAUGGUAUUUAGUGUCCUAUUAAAAAACCUUGCUUGAUUUGCUACCUCACAUCCUUAGCAGAAUAGUUUUAACUACAGGCAUUACU